This 133-nucleotide ribosomal RNA is filed under the name Propithecus coquereli (Coquerel's sifaka). The record is from RNAcentral. Lineage: Eukaryota; Metazoa; Chordata; Mammalia; Primates; Indriidae.
AUCUGUGGCCAUACCACCCUGCAUGUGCCUGAUCUGAGAAGCUAAGCAGGGUCGGGCCUGGUUAGUACUUGGAUGGGAGCAUUACCCUUAGCAUGGUGGCAUGCUCUCCCUGAGGAGAUGGCUGAUUCAUGCC